CCUUCAACUAGCCAUUACGAGUGCACAAACACCAGCUGCCUCACCUUCCAGUACGCCAACCACCACCACCACUCCUCCACCUUCAACUUCGCCACCACCUACAACUUCCGCACCACCUCCUUCAACAACCCCUCCACCUACAACUUCAGCACCACCUCCUUCAACAGCAACGCCUCCACCUUCCACCACGCCCAUCGCGCCAGCUCAACCACCUGCAACAACUCCCCCUCCCACUGUUGCACCAGCUACAAGCCCAACUGUCCCACCGCCACAAACUCCACCACCUCAACCACCUCAAACUCCUCCAACCACAGCUCCAGCUCAACCGCCAGCAGUGCCACCACCAUCACCACCACCAGUAUCUCCUGCACCAGCACCAGCUCAGAAACCACCAGCUC
RNAcentral lists this long non-coding RNA (398 nucleotides) under Gossypium raimondii (Peruvian cotton). Its description in RNAcentral is "long non-coding RNA (GRAI_LNC010348)". Lineage: Eukaryota; Viridiplantae; Streptophyta; Magnoliopsida; Malvales; Malvaceae. The record is from RNAcentral.